GGGCCAGUAGAUCAGCUGGAAGAUCGCCACGUUCGCAUCGUGGAGGCCGCGGGUCCAAGUCCCGCCUGGUCCA
Molecule: transfer RNA, 73 nt
Filed under: Candidatus Helarchaeota archaeon
Lineage: Archaea; Promethearchaeati; Candidatus Helarchaeota
Description: tRNA-Ala
Rfam family: tRNA
About the family: Transfer RNA (tRNA) molecules are approximately 80 nucleotides in length. Their secondary structure includes four short double-helical elements and three loops (D, anti-codon, and T loops).
Source: RNAcentral